Molecule: transfer RNA, 83 nt
Filed under: Patescibacteria group bacterium
Lineage: Bacteria
Description: tRNA-Leu
Rfam family: tRNA
About the family: Transfer RNA (tRNA) molecules are approximately 80 nucleotides in length. Their secondary structure includes four short double-helical elements and three loops (D, anti-codon, and T loops). Further hydrogen bonds mediate the characteristic L-shaped molecular structure. tRNAs have two regions of fundamental functional importance: the anti-codon, which is responsible for specific mRNA codon recognition, and the 3' end, to which the tRNAs corresponding amino acid is attached (by aminoacyl-tRNA synthetases). tRNAs cope with the degeneracy of the genetic code in two manners: having more than one tRNA (with a specific anti-codon) for a particular amino acid; and 'wobble' base-pairing, i.e. permitting non-standard base-pairing at the 3rd anti-codon position.
Source: RNAcentral
GCCGGGGUGGUGGAAUGGUUUACACGAUGGAUUUAAAAUCCAUUGGGCGCAAGCCCAUGUGGGUUCGACUCCCACUCCCGGCA